Molecule: ribosomal RNA, 491 nt
Filed under: uncultured bacterium
Lineage: Bacteria
Description: partial 16S ribosomal RNA
Rfam family: Bacterial small subunit ribosomal RNA
Source: RNAcentral
AGUGAACGCUGGCGGUAGGCCUAACACAUGCAAGUCGAACGGCAGCACAGUAAGAGCUUGCUCUUACGGGUGGCGAGUGGCGGACGGGUGAGGAAUACAUCGGAAUCUACUUUUUCGUGGGGGAUAACGUAGGGAAACUUACGCUAAUACCUCAUACGACCUACGGGUGAAAGCAGGGGAUCUUCGGACCUUGCGCGAUUGAAUGAGCCGAUGUCGGAUUAGCUAGUUGGCGGGGUAAAGGCCCACCAAGGCGACGAUCCGUAGCUGGUCUGAGAGGAUGAUCAGCCACACUGGAACUGAGACACGGUCCAGACUCCUACGGGAGGCAGCAGUGGGGAAUAUUGGACAAUGGGCGCAAGCCUGAUCCAGCCAUACCGCGUGGGUGAAGAAGGCCUUCGGGUUGUAAAGUCCUUUUGUUGGGAAAGAAAAGCAGCAGGUUAAUACCCCGCUGUUCUGACGGUACCCAAAGAAUAAGCACCGGCUAACUUCGU